UUCUUCUUUUGAGGUUGACUAUCAAAUUCCCGCUCCUCUUCAUCAAUAUCUAUUAUAUCUCCAAAAUAAAAUUUCAUUCUUUCAAAAUAUGCAGGAAUCUGUUGGAUCACUGAAGACACUACAGUCACCUGGUUAAAAAUUUCUCUAGACUGCCCAUUGUGACUGUCUCUUACUUCCUAUUCUUCCUCACCUUCACUACUGUCUAGCUCAAUAAUUUCUUUUUCCUCUUCUUCAUCUUCACUACUCCCAAUUUCCACAACUUCCCUAUCCACUUUCCUCUUGCUCCUAGUUACAACAACUUUACACUCCUCUUU
RNAcentral lists this long non-coding RNA (314 nucleotides) under Vigna radiata. Its description in RNAcentral is "long non-coding RNA (VRAD_LNC011286)". Lineage: Eukaryota; Viridiplantae; Streptophyta; Magnoliopsida; Fabales; Fabaceae. The record is from RNAcentral.